Molecule: small RNA, 67 nt
Organism: Pontibacillus marinus BH030004 = DSM 16465
Lineage: Bacteria; Bacillati; Bacillota; Bacilli; Caryophanales; Bacillaceae
Rfam family: Bacillaceae-1 RNA
Source: Rfam
UAACAAUGAAGUUCGGUUAAAACCGCUACUUCCUGUAGCAACACCGAACUACCCCACGUCGUGUGGG